RNAcentral lists this ribosomal RNA (447 nucleotides) under uncultured Rhodocyclaceae bacterium. RNAcentral describes it as "bacterial SSU rRNA". It matches the Rfam family "Bacterial small subunit ribosomal RNA", at positions 103 to 546 of the family's 1533-position model. Lineage: Bacteria; Pseudomonadati; Pseudomonadota; Betaproteobacteria; Rhodocyclales; Rhodocyclaceae. The record is from RNAcentral.
CGGGUGAGUAAUGCAUCGGAACGUACCCGGUAGUGGGGGAUAACUACCCGAAAGGGUGGCUAAUACCGCAUAUACUGUGCGCAGGAAAGCAGGGGACCUUCGGGCCUUGUGCUACCGGAGCGGCCGAUGUCAGAUUAGGUAGUUGGUGGGGUAACGGCCUACCAAGCCUGCGAUCUGUAGCGGGUCUGAGAGGAUGAUCCGCCACACUGGGACUGAGACACGGCCCAGACUCCUACGGGAGGCAGCAGUGGGGAAUUUUGGACAAUGGGCGCAAGCCUGAUCCAGCCAUGCCGCGUGAGUGAAGAAGGCCUUCGGGUUGUAAAGCUCUUUCGGACGGAAAGAAAUCGUGCAGGCUAAUACCCUGCGCGGAUGACGGUACCGUCAUAAGAAGCACCGGCUAACUACGUGCCAGCAGCCGCGGUAAUACGUAGGGUGCGAGCGUUAAUC